This 74-nucleotide transfer RNA is filed under the name Phycisphaerae bacterium. RNAcentral's name for it is "tRNA-Arg". It matches the Rfam family "tRNA". From Rfam's summary of the family: Transfer RNA (tRNA) molecules are approximately 80 nucleotides in length. Lineage: Bacteria; Pseudomonadati; Planctomycetota; Phycisphaerae. The record is from RNAcentral.
GCCCCGGUAGCUCAGUUGGAUAGAGCAGCGGCCUUCUAAGCCGCAGGUCGACGGUUCGAGUCCGUCCUGGGGUG